UUUACGUGGCCAUUACCUUGGUGGGAGUAGGAGCUCUCGAAGAACAGAUACUACUUUGUAUUAGAGUUCUUUACCCAAACAAGGAGCUGACUCUAUAAUUUAAACCAAAGGGAAUUUAUUGGAAGGGUAGGAGUUAGCUCACAGACUCAACGGACAGCUGAAGAGUGGAGGCCGAGCCAGAGCUGAAUGUGUGGACGUCAGAAGAGCUUCGUGGGUUCAGUUGUCAACAGCCAACUCUCACUAGUUCAAGCAUAAAAGGAACAGCUCAAAGGAUAUCCAGUAGCAGGAAAGGCGAGAGAGAAAUGGCUUGAAGUCUUACACAGCCCGGACAAGAAGCAACAGCCCAGCCAGGCAGCAGGACCGCUCCAGCAAAGACCCCGUGCCCCACUGUUGCACGCACACUUAAGCUCCCACCAGUGGCCCUGACCUGGAGUCUGUCGUCCCGGCCUUCUAAAACCAGAUGCUUCUACUGCUACCUGCCCUGCCUGGAGAAACAUCUCUACGCAGCACUAGCUUCCUUACGUUGCUCACACCCAAGUCAAGGUCUCAUGCAGGACCCAGAACUCAUCUGGUUCCUGCCUCUUCUCCAAGCUGAUCCGUCUAGGCUACGUCGGAGGGCCCAUUGCCUCUGGAGUCCAGGUGGGCUGUGUCCCUGAACAGAAAGAAACUGCUUGGUUCCUGGGGCCUCUUCUACUCAACGCUUCCCUAGUUCCAGAACCGCUCCCUCUGCUGACUCUUCAGGUCCCUUGUAAGGACUUAGCUGAAUUCUCUACACUGGGCAGGAAUAUCAUCCCCCUUACUCCUGAAGUUCCCUCUUGAAACUAUUUCUUAGGUGAAAAUCACACCACAUAAGGGAUUAGUAAAGCUUUUAAUAGCCAAUAAACACACAAUUUAAAAGAGAAAAGAAACAAAACAUUGUGAUCCAGAGUCAAUUAGAGCCCACCAGGAUAGAAUAUCUGCGAAGAAAGCAAUUGCCAAAGCAAUAAGAAUGCAUCUUAAAGUUUCAGAAAUGGAACUCAGAGAAAACGUCCUCAAGGAAUAAUACCAAGACAGACCCACUUGAAAUGUGCGAUGGACUGAGAUGAAAGCCUCACAAAUGCCCUUAUAAAUCUUAAGAAAACUAACAAACGGCUGGUCAGUUAAGACUCUAGUGUUAUUGGGCGCCUGGGUGGCUCGGUUGGUUGAGCGUCUGUCUGCCUUCGGCUCAGGUCAUGAUCCCGGACUGAACCCCACAUGGGCUCCCUGCUCGGCGGGGCAUCUGCUUCUCCCUCUGCCCUUCACCCCUCACGUGCGCGCGCUGUCCCUGCCUCUCAAAUAUAUAAAUUCUCAAAGGAAAAAAAAAGACUCUAGUGUUAUUGAUGAGACAGCAGGUAAAGGAAGCAGAGAUCCUGGGAACACGGGAAAUGCAGAAAUGAGUGGUCCUGAUCUGCAUCCUGAGGGUACCAAGGGAUUCCCUGAAGAACUCUCAGAACCAAGGGCCUUUGAUUUAGAAAACACAACAAAACACAGAGGUCUUAUCUUCAGCAAGAAUCCCCCUGACUCCAUGGAGCGCCUGGGUGGCUCAGUCGUUAAGCGUCUGCCUUCCGCUCAGGUCAUGAU
Zalophus californianus (California sea lion) is the source of this 1599-nucleotide long non-coding RNA. RefSeq lists it as uncharacterized. The record is from RefSeq and is a predicted model, not a curated record. Lineage: Eukaryota; Metazoa; Chordata; Mammalia; Carnivora; Otariidae. The transcript is spliced from 5 exons.